Caretta caretta (loggerhead turtle) is the source of this 3769-nucleotide non-coding RNA. NCBI's taxonomy places the organism in Eukaryota, Metazoa, Chordata, Testudines, Cheloniidae. The record is from RefSeq and is a predicted model, not a curated record.
AAGGAAGCCGGGGCCCCCUGUGCACACAGAUAAACGGCCACAGACGCUAACGCCUGGGAGCAGACACCCUGGCAGAGUGAGCCACCCCCCGCCCCCGCCCAGCCUAGCUGCUCCCAUGCUGAGAGGGGGCAGCAGUUCCAGAGCUGCCCCCACAGUGCCCCCAGCCAGGGAGGAGCACCAGCCUGCCAGGGCUGUGGGCAGCAGCGGGGGCAGGCAGGGAGCUGAGCGGGGAAGGCUACUGCAGCGUCUGCUUGAGCAAACGGGGAACCAUGCCUGUGCUAACCGGGCGCACUGCCAUCCAGGCUUUCCUCACCCCACACCCAGCACCAUACACACCCGUCCCGCAGCAAGCGCUUGCCGGAGGAAGGAGGUCUGCUUGGAGCCGCUGCUUUCCCCAGCUGGGGUCAGUGAACAGCCAGGCAGCUCUGGAGACUGUCCGGUUUGACCAAUGUACAUGGCAGAGGGGCAUUGCUGGCACAUGAUGGCAUAUAUCACAUUGGUGGAUGUGCAGGUGAACGAACCUCUGAUAGUGUGGCUGAUGUGAUUAGGCCCUGUGAUGGUGUCCCCUGAAUAGAUAUGUGGACACAGCUGGCAACAGGCUUUGUUGGUAUAAAAAGAAAAGGAGGACUUGUGGUACCUUAGAGACUAACCAAUUUAUUUGAGCAUAAGCUUGCGUGAGCUACAGCCCACUUCAGCAAACCCAACCCCACCGCACAUUGUCCAGUGUCUGUUGCCUCAGUUUCCUACCUUGCAGUGGGAAAGACCAAUGAAGAAAUGUCCCUCUAACACACCACUCCCGUCUCCCUGCAUGGCCCCCCACUCACAGCCGGCUGUCCUUGGUCAGCGAAGAGCUGGAGUUCAGAGGUGAGUUCAUGGCAUUUGCCUCCCACGGGGCAUGGGAGGGGGGACACUGAGCAACACCUCUGCGACUGGUGUGGAACUGAUCCAUGAAAUUGUUUUUAGUUGUUCACUUUAUGAAUAUAACUUCAUAAGCAAAGUUUUAUGAAUGAAACAACAUUCAUUCAUAAAACCGGUUACCCCAAUAACUGGCUAAUUGAGUUUCACUUUCAAUCCAAUUGCUGCUUAAAUCACUGAAACUUGCAACCUGCUUCAACACUGGAACUUCUGCUCCCUGUUUGCCGUUCCUUACACGUGUCCAUAUUGUACCUCAAACUCCAUUUUAACUUGUCCCAAACUCCAUUGUAAAAUGCUCACUCCGUUUUGUAAAGGCUUGCUGCAACCUUCAUUUUUGCUAAACCCUGCUGUAAUCUGAUUAGUGUUGUUUAUAUGUGGGGAUGAGGGAUGGAUGGAUGAUGGAAUCAACCUCCAGCCCCAGCCUGUCCUGAUGAAAUAAAGUGUAAACACCAAGGGCUGAAGAUGCAGACAACAGCCCUGACAAAGCAAGAAGAGUCCACCCUCAAAAGAAAAGAACAAAAGUACAAUUGAAGAAACAUCAGAGCCAGGUCCCAGGCUGACAGUCACGUCUGCAAUUGACGGGGGAUCAGUCACACCGGACCCAGAGGCAGCCUGACACAGCAAGACCUGUAGACUCUGGAUUCAAACUGAAGCCUACGAAAAGGAUGGAUGAGAUGGAAGAUUUUGGAGGGUAACAUUCUGCUGCCAACAUGGAAGGGCAUCAGUGCAUGCCCAACAGAGACCCAGCUCUUCCUUGUGCCCGGCUUUCCUGGCCAGUUAGCCGCCACAAGCUACGAACCCAAGCUACAUUCAGGACUGGUAACUAUACUGCAGCUGCAGAACAUUUGGGGGAGUGUGUGGGAGGGGUGGGGGCGUGUGUGUGUGUGGGGGGGUGUGUGUAUACAUAGGUAUUAAGUAUUAGUUAUUGGUCAUAAAUCAAAUUGUGUGAUAGUAAACGUGGCAUCUUGUCUUGUCCCCUGAAACGACCCUGUGCGGUUUUGUCUGUGUAACGCUGACUCACAGCUUCGGUGUCUCCCUGCUGCUCUCCCAUCCUCACAGCCUCCAGUUCCACCACUUCAGCCACUGCUCAGCCACUUCAGCCUUAGGCAGCAAUAAAUCACACUCAGAAACCCCCAGCCCAGCACUCGCACUGAAGUCUAACCAGCUCCCUCCCCGAGAAACCCUUCACUGAUGACACACAGCCCAGCUGGCCUCAGCACCCCUACCCCUGCUGAGUGAGUGAGCCCGGGCAGGGGCAGCAGCUCCAUCAGGGCAGGUCUGCUGCCCAUCACUGGACAAUCGGGGUAACAAUAUCCCAGUACCCUGGCACCCAGUACUGCAGAGCUUUGCAGCCCCAAACCAACCAAACAUGACCAUUCUGGUGAAGCAGCCCCACCUGUUGCACCCAGGCAGAAUCGGUGCAUCUGUGCAAACACCAUCUGCUCCUGAAGUCCUCCCUCAGCUCAUCCCUAGGGGCCAGGGGAGAGCUCAGUCACACCCCGCUGACGCAGGGUCAGCUAAACCCUUGGACUUCUAAAUCCUGACUAAACCCAGGAUUCACAUGCUGCAGGGGAGUGAGGGAGCAGCAGGAACUGCCAGUGCCUGCAGGGGGCAGGGAGCCACCCUCAGCAGUGGGGCACCCCUCUGCCGUGGGGUAGGGGAGUGCAAUGGGGGAGCAAUGGCACAACGGGGUGACUGGGCCCGGGAAGGGAGAAGUGAUCUGCUGGGUGUGGCUCUAAGUGGCUGGAUAGGUGAGUCCCCUGGGCCCGGGGCCAGGCCAGUACAGGCAGUGCCGCCCCUGGCCCAGUUGCCCCCCCACCCCAAGUUCACAGUGCCUUUAGGCAAUGCAUUGGGCUAGCCACGGCGGCCUGAUUUCCACAGACACCCCCACACACCGCAGUGUGAAUCAGGAGUGAUUUCCUGGCAUCCCAUGUAGCAGGGGCAGGGAGCAGGGAGUCAGGUCUGGGGUCUCUUGCAGGAGUGUAGGUGGUUAGGUGGUGUGACGUUAUUGACAUGAACUGGGACCGUAUAGAUCAUUUUUGCAACCAAAGUCCUGUAGUGGCACCAAAUCUAUAAAGGGGGUUAAAUAGGGUGUCUAAGACAAGGUUAUGGUUUGCUGGUUAUGAUUAUGCUGUCUGUGUGUAAAAAGAAAAGGAGGACUUGUGGCAUCUUAGAGAGUAACAAAUUUAUUUGAGCAUAAGCUUUCGUGAGCUACAGCUCACUUCAUCGGAUGCAUUCAGUGCAUUAACACGGCUGCUACUCUGAAACCUGUCUGUAUGUGUGUCUCAUUUUUGUAGUUGAAGUUAUGAAUAUUGGCUCUGUACUGUCUGUAUUUCAAACUUCUGCUCUGCUUCUGCGUGACACCCAGACAAGUUGGUGUCAGCUCUGCCUAGCCUGCUGGGUGGCCCAUUAAGGACCAUCCGCUACACAACUGACCCAUUGUGAGAAGGGAGACACGCCUUGGGACUCAGCCAGGUAUGCUGGGACUUGCCAUGUGACUCCAAACUCCAUUUUGCUGUAAUUUUCCACGGUAAGAACAAAGAGGGGUUCUUACACCUGGAGGAGACUAUAAAAGGCUGAUGCCUCAUCUCCAUCUGGUCUUCAGUCCUGCUUCUUACCUCUGGAGGGACUUUGCUACAGACUGAAGCUCUAAGCAAAGGACUGAAGGACCCAUCCCAGCUGGGGAUGUUCUCCAGAGACUUGAUUUGAACCUGCCGUUUAUUCCCUCACUGCUGCAAGCCUGAACCAAGAACUUGGCCGUCACUGUCUGUCAUUGAUUCCAUUGAACCCAUUCUAGCUCUCAUCUCUAUCCUUUUCCUUUUCUGGAUAAACCUUUAGAUUUUAGAUUCGAAAA